AAUGCAGUUUCCAGGACACAGUGAGCUACUUUGGGGUGAAGCCAAAGUCCGGAGAGAAAGACGUGGCCCCGAAUUUAGUUUUUAUGCUUUGGUACGAGUUUUGCAACGACUUCAAGAACGCCUGGACACGACAAAACAAGAACAUCUCCAAGGAGAAGUUAAAGGAAGCUCAGGAAAACAUCAAGAAGAUCACAGCGGAGAAGAGAGUGGAAACCAAGAAGAUCAAUGCCAACAGUCUGAAAGAGAGGCUGCGGCAGAAGGAGGCUGGCGUGUCUUCCAGCUGAGUGAAAUCACAGCAGAAGAAGAAACAAGGAGUGGUAGGAGAAGAUCGUAGAUCAGAAGGCCUCAUUGUGUGUGUUUUCCACCUGCUUCAACAACAGCGGUCUGCUCUUCACUCUCUCUACAGACUCACAAAAAAACCUCGCCGGACAACUACUGCGGUUCUCUGUUUACUAACACCCACACAUCCCCACCCUACCCUCCGAUGCAUGGCUGCCACAGCCCAAGUGAUGAGUCAUAAAGGCCAAAGAUCGAUCUCAUUCAUCCGGCAGGGCGCGACCUCCGAGUGCCCAGCUUGUGAAAGGUCUCAAGGGGUCAGUGGGAUUCACAGCUGACCCAUCCAAGAGGUUCCUUCUGGAUCUACAAGAGCUGAGAAACCAUUUGUUUCUGACGUAAGAGAGCAGAGUGAUAACGCUGCUACAUUUUUCAAAGACGGUGCACAUACGGCUGCCUGAAAAGGAAAAUCCCCAUUGACAAACUAGAAAUCUGUGUCUGGAAACGGUAAAAAAUGCUAGUGUUCCUAGCUUUUCAUUCCCCAUGGCUCAUUAAAAGUAUUUGUAAAUAGGUCAUGUUGUAGAAUCUGCAGGGCCCAUGCAGCAGCAGGAGGAUGAUGAAUGAUUCGCGCCAGGCUUUAUGAGCAGAUUAAGACAUGUUGUGUAUAAAUGUGUGUGUGCACACAAAUUGUGGAGGUUUCACUGUUUCGUGUAGCACUGCACCAGACUGACAUCUCCUUGGUGGGGCCAGAGAAGGGGCCCUCAAACACACACAGAGGUACUUCAAAAACAUCAGAAGAAAACAACAUUUUGCCAUUCACCCACUCAUCACAGAUAUUAAAUAUAAAUUGUUUGUCCUUCAUUGAGUGUCACCUUUACGCACUUUACUGCUUGCUGUAGCUGUAUGUUGUAGCUCGCUAUUAGCUACACUCCCCUGGUUAUGCUAACUGCGUGCAUUUUUCAGAUGUCCAGCACUUUUUUUGCACCUCUUUUCCUAUGCAAGGGUACGCUUUCCUUGUUAGAAGUUUUAUGAAUUUUACGGCUUUAUGAUUUAAACGUGUUCGAUUUAUUUUUUUCUGAGAAAGUCUAUGGCAAGUGUAUAUUUUUGUUAUCUGAAAUUUAAGAUGUAACCACACUCCUGUGUCAUUCAAGAAAAAUCUAUUUAUGUAAGGAAAGAUUUAUUUUCUGCCAAAAGGCAUCAGCGUUGGUCCCUUCGAGGCUGUAUUUGUAUGAGUUGUAAUUGGCUGAGAAGCUGCGUAGUUAAAUCAGAAGAAAGAUAUAUUUUCCCAUGGAUGUUGUGCCCGAGAUGUUGAAUGUCGGUGGAGAUUUGCCUUUUCUCUUUAGUUUUGGAGAGAUGAGGAUUGUAUUUUGGGGUAUUGAGAACAUUUUAGUACAUCACCUAAAGCCAUGCAAGUUGCUAUAUCUCAGACAGACUUCUAUUAUCAGAGAAUCCAUAAAAUUGCACCUUGAAUUACUAUUUGUACCCUCCUAAGUCUUUCACCUGUGCCAUUUAUUUUGUAAAAAAAUAGAUAUUUCAUGAAAUGCUAUGUUUAAAAAGAAAAAGCUGAUGCUGACAAAGGAACUGCUGUAGCCUCUACUGUAUGUAUGUAUGUAACCCUCAGUAGCUCCCAUACGUGCUCUGUAAUUUUCUGGAAUUGUUUUAAAUUUCGAGAUUAAAGUACUGGAUGCCGAACAAACUGGACCAACUUCUCUAAAUGUUCUUCUGUCGACAC
This is a long non-coding RNA of Notothenia coriiceps (black rockcod), 2005 nucleotides long. RefSeq lists it as uncharacterized. The record is from RefSeq and is a predicted model, not a curated record. NCBI's taxonomy places the organism in Eukaryota, Metazoa, Chordata, Actinopteri, Perciformes, Nototheniidae. The transcript is spliced from 3 exons.